Molecule: long non-coding RNA, 1124 nt
Organism: Labeo rohita (rohu)
Lineage: Eukaryota; Metazoa; Chordata; Actinopteri; Cypriniformes; Cyprinidae
Exons: 4
Source: RefSeq, a predicted model, not a curated record
UGAUUGUGAAUGUGUUUUUCAGUGACAAAUGAGACCAACAUCAGUGGACCGACGCAAACUCCAGAAUCAAAUCAGCUGUUAUGGAUUUUUGCUCUUGUUAUCAUCGUUCUUCUCAUCAUGUUCUUGAUCUGUUUCUUGCUGCGGAAAAGGAAAACCAGAUGUUUUCAGAGGGAAGUGCAGAACAACUUUGAAAACAGGGAUCCUGAAUCUGCUGUGCAAAUGAUCUGAUGAUCCUCACUGACUGCACUUCAACAGCUCCGUCUCCAGUGUUUCAUCACAUCAAUCAUUGAAUGCUGUUCAUUCUGUUACUUUAGUGCAGAGACAGAUCAGUUAAACCAUUUCAGGUGAUGAUUUUUAGCUCACUAAGUGCAUUAUUGUAGUAUUCAUAUGAAAGAUUAUAGACAUACAUUUCUUUAAUGCUAGAUGAGUCUGAUUUCUGUCAAACAAGUUUCAUAAGAGCUAAAAGACAUUGAAGCAUUGUUUCUGUAAAGCAAUUAUGCCUACAAAAUGAGAAUCCAACAUGCAUAGUUAUAGGAGUGAGGAUUUCCCAGCACAUUCCUAUCUCAGGAUCACCCUCAGACACAAUGACUCACCGCCUGUUUUGACAUGAAGACAGUAUCUGACGCAAUUACACUGGGGGAAAAACCUUUACUAGCAAGCACAAGUCCUGUAUCUAAAAUAGACACACAAUUAAAAAAUGUUUGAUGACGAAACGAGGAGAAAACACUGACAUGCACCAACAUCAGAAAUCACAACAUGCUUUGACCAAGAAUUUAUCACAUUUUACUUGUACUUUCUAUACAGUUUCCAGGCUUUUAAUUUUUCUAAAGCAUAGAUACAAUGAAAUACAGUAUAUUACUUUAAGCUUGAAGUCUGAAGUCCACUGAAGUCUGUCACUGAUUCCAAAUUGCAUGACAAAAAACAAUAAUGUAAUACACUUCAUUACACAUUUUAGACAAUAUAAUCACCACAUUCUGAUUACUUUUGACCUGACUUGUUUAUAUAUAUUUCAUUCUUUGUGAUUAGCAACAUGAAGUGCAUUGAACAUUACAUUACGUCAGUUACAACACCGCCUGCAAUUAAAGCUUCAAGAAAUGACACAUUUACAAGAACUAUGGUCCAUA